GUGAGGAAUAUUGGUCAAUGGGCGGGAGCCUGAACCAGCCAAGUCGCGUGAAGGAAGAAGGAUCUAUGGUUCGUAAACUUCUUUUGCAGGGGAAUAAAGUGCAGGACGUGUCCUGUUUUGUAUGUACCCUGAGAAUAAGGAUCGGCUAACUCCGUGCCAGCAGCCGCGGUAAUACGGAGGAUCCGAGCGUUAUCCGGAUUUAUUGGGUUUAAAGGGUGCGUAGGUGGUUUGAUAAGUCAGCGGUGAAAGUUUGCAGCUUAACUGUAAAAAUGCCGUUGAAACUGUCGGAGUUGAGUGUAAAUGAGGUAGGCGGAAUGCGUGGUGUAGCGGUGAAAUGCAUAGAUAUCACGCAGAACUCCGAUUGCGAAGGCAGCUUACUAAGCUACAACUGACACUGAAGCACGAAAGCGUGGGGAUCAAACAGGAUUAGAAACCCGGGUAGUCC
This 445-nucleotide ribosomal RNA is filed under the name uncultured bacterium. RNAcentral describes it as "partial 16S ribosomal RNA". It matches the Rfam family "Bacterial small subunit ribosomal RNA", at positions 354 to 796 of the family's 1533-position model. The record is from RNAcentral.